This 493-nucleotide ribosomal RNA is filed under the name uncultured bacterium. Its description in RNAcentral is "bacterial SSU rRNA". It matches the Rfam family "Bacterial small subunit ribosomal RNA", at positions 8 to 526 of the family's 1533-position model. The record is from RNAcentral.
AGAGUUUGAUCCUGGCUCAGGACGAACGCUGGCGGCGUGCUUAAUACAUGCAAGUCGAGCGGGGAUCUUCGGAUCCUAGCGGCGAACGGGUGAGUAACACGUGGGCAACCUGCCCCUUAGCCUGGAAUAACUUCGGGAAACCGGAGCUAAAACCGGAUAAUCUUAGUUCCUGCAUAGGGAUUAAGUAAAAAGCUUGCUACUAAGGGAUGGGCCCGCGUCGCAUUAGCUAGUUGGAGAGGUAAUGGCUCCCCAAGGCGACGAUGCGUAGCCGACCUGAGAGGGUGACCGGCCACACUGGGACUGAGACACGGCCCAGACUCCUACGGGAGGCAGCAGUAGGGAAUUUUCCGCAAUGGACGAAAGUCUGACGGAGCAACGCCGCGUGAGUGAAGACGGCCUUCGGGUUGUAAAGCUCUGUUCUUUGGGAAGAAAAAAAUGACGGUACCAAAGGAGAAAGCCCCGGCUAACUACGUGCCAGCCGCCGCGGUAAUUC